GGCUUCUGUGGUACCACGAACAAGGGAGAUAGUAUAAAUCGCAUAUACGACUAUGCGAGCAUAAGCGCUGCGACUCCUAGACUAAAGCGAGGGAAGCCAAAAAUAAUUCAACUAAAAUUUAUGAAAUAAAUAAAGAAAGUAUGAUAAAUACAGUAUAAUAUAGACAUUAUGUAAAUUCUUGGGCGGUAAUUUACUCCUGGAGGUUUAUUAGAUCGGACGACUGCAAGAAUUUUGCAGAAGAAAUACGACUGGGAAAUUCAAUAGCAAUGUCAAAAUUUGUCAUUUCACAUUUGCGAUUCCUUUGUAAGAUUCAAAAUCGACUGUACUAAAUCUGAUAACACGAAUAAAAGGCAAAAGAUCUACAGAAAUAAAUUCUCAUAUACACAACGGUAUACAAACAAAUAGCGUAGAGCUCGGAGCAAGCAAGGCUUAUCUAUGUGCCUAAAGUUAAAAUUAUGAGGUGAUUAUUUCAAAGUUGCCAAGUGUCCUUCAACGCUUCAAGUCUUACCUGUCUUGGUAAAGUUACCCACAGGGUGUCAGAGGUAUUGAUAUAUAUAUAGACUCAUCAUACGCGGGCUGCCGAUGAAAAUGUAACGUGAUGAUUGAAUUUCAAUCACGUUGUUAUUUCAUGCUUUAAGCUUUCCGGGCAAAGUAUCCUCCAUCACGUCCUGAAUUCAUGUCUCACGCUUUUGAAGCGACGGAUCUACCGGGUUUGUGAGUACAAAUAAUAGCGUUGUCUGUUUUCGUUUCAAUUCAUGACUGUGAGCCGAACUAAAAGGAUGAAGAACACGAUAAACCUCUGCGUUUUUAUACUGAUAUCAUUUCAACUUUUUUUGGCUGUUCACAGCUUUCGUCGAUUUUCCCAAGAACUAGAUGGAAACGAAUCAGACACGUACCAACCUGGAAGUGCAGAAGUCUUGCUAUUUGAAGAUGAAUCCGACGACUUCGUGACAGAGAACUGAACAUGGAAUAGAAGAAAAUCGAAUAAUAUCAAAUUAAGCAUGUAUAUACGCGGGCUACAUAUAUAUUACAAAAACUAUAAAUCCAACAAUGACAUUUGCAAACAUUGUGAUGACUAUUACCCAGAACAGAUUAUCAAUUUUAAUGGUUGUAUAUGCAGGUUCUACUAUCUUCUAUAAAAAACUUUUGAAAACAAAAAUAAAAUUGGGAAAGCAGGAUCUGUCAGUAUUUUCGAUGGCAUGUUGUAUUGAAAUAAAUCUGUGAAACAUGUAUAACUCAAAUAUAUUGGUGUCGAAAUUACACUCAAGUGUCAGUAUGAAAUCAAUAACUCCGCAAAAUAAUUUUUGGCUUUUAUAUAUUGUUAUUUCGAAGUCGGAGUAAUAUUUUUUGUCAGGCUGAGCUGUUAUUUUGUUAGUCUGAAAUUCGGAAAUAAUGGCAAUAUGAACCCUAAGUUGAACACCCAUGACUUCAGUUUAGAACAAAUUUUUAAAGACCAUGGAAAUGAAUAGGCCCAUUCCCGACGUUUCCAUAAAAUUGCUCAGUUGAUUAAAUCUGGUUUUCAAGUUGGUGUACUCCUAUUUCUGGUACCGCUAUAACAGGGAAAUGUAAAAUUUGCUUCUAAAACAAAAUAAUGGCAGAUAACCAACACCAUUGACUUAUUAACUGAUUCGGGUGGAUGAGCCCGCGGCCUAAAAAGUGAAAAUUUUGUGACAGAAAGUGUUUGUCUUGCAAACUGAAACUGAUAACCACAGUCUUAUAUUCUCUGUGUUUUCAUGUACUACUGGCGGAAAGGAAUACCUUUCUCAG
This is a non-coding RNA of Styela clava, 1767 nucleotides long. NCBI's taxonomy places the organism in Eukaryota, Metazoa, Chordata, Ascidiacea, Stolidobranchia, Styelidae. The record is from RefSeq and is a predicted model, not a curated record.